GAUGAACGCUGGCGGCGUGCUUAACACAUGCAAGUCGAACGAAGCACUUUAUUUGAUUUCCUUCGGGACUGAUUAUUUUGUGACUGAGUGGCGGACGGGUGAGUAACGCGUGGGUAACCUGCCUUGUACAGGGGGAUAACAGUUGGAAACGGCUGCUAAUACCGCAUAAGCGCACAGCAUCGCAUGAUGCAGUGUGAAAAACUCCGGUGGUAUAAGAUGGACCCGCGUUGGAUUAGCUAGUUGGUGAGGUAACGGCCCACCAAGGCGACGAUCCAUAGCCGGCCUGAGAGGGUGACCGGCCACAUUGGGACUGAGACACGGCCCAAACUCCUACGGGAGGCAGCAGUGGGGAAUAUUGCACAAUGGGCGAAAGCCUGAUGCAGCGACGCCGCGUGAGCGAAGAAGUAUUUCGGUAUGUAAAGCUCUAUCAGCAGGGAAGAUAAUGAAGGUACCUGACUAAGAAGCACCGGCUAAAUACGUG
This 481-nucleotide ribosomal RNA is filed under the name uncultured bacterium. Its description in RNAcentral is "partial 16S ribosomal RNA". It matches the Rfam family "Bacterial small subunit ribosomal RNA", at positions 28 to 507 of the family's 1533-position model. The record is from RNAcentral.